GCCCAAUCAUCCAUAAUAUUGGGCUAGGAAGCCAAUGUAAGGCCAAGAGUCCUAGCUUGGCCCAAUUCCGGAACAUUCUAGACAACUCCAGCACAUUUGAGCAACUCUAGAUUCCGGAACGUUCUAGGGAACUCUAGCACAUUGGAGAACUCUCUAGAGCUCUCUAGAACUCUCUAGAGCUCUCUAGAACUCUCUAGAACUCUCUAGAGCUCUCUAGAACUCUAUUGAACAUUCUAGAAUUCUCCAUAGAAUUCUAGCACAUGUAUGUACCUAGAAUGUAGUAGAACUCUCUAGAACUCUCCAUAGAGUUCUAGGACAUGUACAUAACU
RNAcentral lists this long non-coding RNA (329 nucleotides) under Nicotiana benthamiana. RNAcentral describes it as "long non-coding RNA (NBEN_LNC018902)". The record is from RNAcentral. Lineage: Eukaryota; Viridiplantae; Streptophyta; Magnoliopsida; Solanales; Solanaceae.